This 486-nucleotide ribosomal RNA is filed under the name uncultured bacterium. RNAcentral describes it as "partial 16S ribosomal RNA". It matches the Rfam family "Bacterial small subunit ribosomal RNA", at positions 30 to 507 of the family's 1533-position model. The record is from RNAcentral.
AUUGAACGCUGGCGGCAUGCCUUACACAUGCAAGUCGAACGGCAUCACGGGUGCUUGCACCUGGUGGCGAGUGGCGAACGGUUGAGUAAUACAUCGGAACAUGUCCUGUAGUUGGGGAUAGCCCGGCGAAAGCCGGAUUAAUACCGCAUACGAUCUACGGAUGAAAGCGGGGGACCUUCCGGCCUCGCGCUAUAGGGUUGGCCGAUGGCUGAUUAGCUAGUUGGUGGGGUAAAGGCCUACCAAGGCGACGAUCAGUAGCUGGUCUGAGAGGACGACCAGCCACACUGGGACUGAGACACGGCCCAGACUCCUACGGGAGGCAGCAGUGGGGAAUUUUGGACAAUGGGCGAAAGCCUGAUCCAGCAAUGCCGCGUGUGUGAAGAAGGCCUUCGGGUUGUAAAGCACUUUUGUCCGGAAAGAAAUCCUUGGCUCUAAUACAGUCGGGGGAUGACGGUACCGGAAGAAUAAGCACCGGCUAACUACGUG